RNAcentral lists this ribosomal RNA (225 nucleotides) under uncultured bacterium. RNAcentral's name for it is "partial 16S ribosomal RNA". It matches the Rfam family "Bacterial small subunit ribosomal RNA", at positions 1123 to 1349 of the family's 1533-position model. The record is from RNAcentral.
ACGUUAUGGUGGGCACUCUAAGGAGACUGCCGGUGACAAACCGGAGGAAGGUGGGGAUGACGUCAAGUCAUCAUGGCCCUUACGGCCAGGGCUACACACGUGCUACAAUGGUCGGUACAGAGGGUUGCCAAGCCGCGAGGUGGAGCUAAUCCCAUAAAACCGAUCGUAGUCCGGAUCGCAGUUGCAACUCGAUGCGUGAAGUCGGAAUCGCUAGUAAUCGGAAUC